UUUAUAACAAAGUUCAAGGAAGUGAGUAAAUAGAUAAGUAGACGGCUUAACUGAUGAGAAAACAAACAAUUUUACACAAAGUGUAAAAUUUCGCGUCAAGGUGAAUACUUUUGUGUCAAAUUGUGUCACAAAACUUGUGACGUGAUAAUAGUCGCGUCAUGUCAAAAGUGCCACACCAACCCUCCAGGGGUUAUCAGUUUGGGUUCUUUCUUAUAAAAAUCACGCUGCUCAGCACGACAUGUUUACCACUUUAAUUGAGAGGCCUCUUUUUUAUUUGAAGAUUCUCCAAAGAAUUGGCACAGCAUGUUCAAACAAGGAAUUACAUGGUAUUUGGCCAUAAGCUAAGAAACUUCUAAUCAGUGGUGACUUUAAAGGAAUGGAAGAAAAUUAUAAUUAUGUGCAUCUUAAGUAAAAUGGAAAGGAUCUCCAAAAAUUAAUCUGUAAAAAUAAUAGUUCUUAUGGGUUCGGCAAAAGUAGAAAAAUUUAUUUUAAAUCUAUUUUUUCGCAUAAAUUCAUUUUUAUUUGAUCAUUUCGAUCUGUAAUAAAACUGUUUGAGCACACGUUUUGGACUAAAUGUUAUAAUAACACUUUCGUUUCGAUUGGUAAAUAUUAUUUUUGUUUGUGAAUGGUUGGAGACUAGCACAAAUAGGUAAAUCAAGUAUGCAUUUUGCGAUCCAUUUCAAUUUUUCAUAUUAAAUUAUACCGAGCAGAACUAUCGCACUUUGUUGCAUUUAAAAUUGAACUCUAAGCAAAAAGUUACAUAUUUACUUGAUAUGUUACAAAACCAAGCAUGCGUUGAUUACUGUGAGAGCUGAAUUUGGUUCGUACAUAGUUUACAAUUUGAACCCAUUAAUUUAAAAUUGAUACAUACGUAUGCACUUAAAAACUGUGGUUUCGUGAAGCUUGAUACACAUAUUACACCAGACAAUUCAAAGUUCAGGACAAGUCAAGUCCAUUUGAAUAAAAAAAAUGAAUAUUGCUCAAAGUCGUGAGAGAAUAAUGUAUAUUUGGGAAUUUGUAAUAAACAGGACAUUCAAAUUGUACGCAUCCCAAAAUUAAGACACUUUCCGACCUUUUUUAUUGAGACAUCGCCGGAUGAGAAGUAAAUACGUGGUGAAAUCCAUCCUGUCAAUUUUUUCAUUAUUCGCAUUUAUGGGAAGCAACUUCUUGCUUUGAUGCGUAUCGCAGGUUCAGCUUAAUUGUUAUGAAAAAUAUAUGAGCUUGGCACAAAUUUUUCUUUUUUGUGACAUUGGAAUUAUUUUCUUUAUUUAUGAUUCGGAUAUGGCACCGGAAGUUUAUAUGCAUUGUUUCUUUUACUCGUUGUAGGAAAACACCUUAAUUAACUCGAUUAAAGAGGCAAAUUGUGGCAAUGCUGUAACGUUUUGCGGCGGGUGUUUCAUGAUAAGCACUUUUGUUUGAGGUCAACUUAUAAAGUGGUUCCGCUAAAAUGGCCAUAUGGUCAAUAAAUCCAUGAUACCAUUGGAUCAUCCCAAGAAAAGUCUUUAAAAGUUUUCUUGUUGAUGGGAAUUCAAAAUUUUGAAUGGCCCUGACCUUUUCAGGGUCUAUUUCUAUGCUUUUGGAGGACACAAUGUGACCUAGGAAGGUUGCGCGAUUCUUCCCAAAAUGGCAUUUUGAUUUUUUAAGUGUCAGGCCAGCUUUUCGAAACCGUUCUAAGACAGUCUCGAGAUGCCUUUUGUGAUCACUAAAGUUUUCACUAAAUACGAGGACAUCAUCUUGAUAAAUUAACACAAAUUCAUCGAGACCAGCAAGAAGCUCGUUCAUCAUCCUCUGAUAGGACGCCGCAGCAUUCUUGAGUCCGAAGCACAUCAUGUUAAACUCAAAAAGGCCCCUUUGGGUACAGAAUGAGGUGUACUUACGGCUCUUACGAUCCAUAGGGAUCUGCCAGUACCCUUUCUCUGCAUCCAUUGUACUGAUAUACUUUGCGUUGGCCAACUUACGGAGAAGGUCAUGAACGCGAGGAAUGGGAAAACUGUCAUUAUCGGUAUAUCUAUUGAUGUGUCUCAAAUCAACACAAAAUCGCCAAGUCCCAUCCGUUUUCUCUUUCAAAAGAACAGGACUUGCGUAUGGGGAAUCUGAUGGACGGAUCACCCCCAACUUUAGCAUUUCGUCAACUUGCCGGUUGAUCUCUGCGUGUUUGUGGGGUGCCGUGGGAUACGGACGCUGUCUCUUUGGAUGCUCCUCCAUCAUUUUUAUUGUGUGUUUGACACCUUUUAUUCUCCCUAGUGGGGCAUCGACUACGUCGGGAAACUUUUUGAUAAGCUCCUUCAGUUGGUCGGAUUCGAAUUCGCUCACUAAUUGUAAAUUGCAAUUGGAUACGUGAACUUUACUAACUGUGAGUGGGGACUUUUGACUUGGAAAGGAGUCUGAAAAACCCCAUUCCAGUGACCCUAUGUCCAACACUAACCCACAAUUAUGAAGAAAGUCCAUACCCAAGAGCAUUUCAUUCGAGCUAUUCAUGACAGCGAAAGUGUGAGUGUAUUGACGAUCAUUUAAAUUAAAUUUUAAGGUAACCAUACCAGUAGGAAGAGACUCAGUACGAUCUAGCAUGAUAACUGGUCCUUCUACCCAUUUAUUUACAGAAAAUCAUUUCCCUAAUACUUUCCUAAGCGAUUUUAAAGUUACAAUUGAAAUCGUAGAACCAGUAUCCGCUAAGGCAUUUAAUUUACAGGAGGGAAAAGUAAUAGGAAGGAUAGGAAUUAGUCGGUUGGGGUCUUGAAUUAGAGGAUGAGUAACCACAAAUCCGUGGAUGGUUACUCCCUCCUCCCGUUUCCCGUCGCAUCUUGUGACGAUUGUUGACGCUGAGAGUGUUGAUCACUCCCUUGACCACAAUUCACUUGAGGCUGUUGACGACGACGACAAUUCUGGGUGGUAUGGUUGCUUAAAUGGGGACAAUAUGUACACACUUUCGGUCGACCUUGUUGUCGCUGCUGUUGUGGUUGUUGUUGUUGUUGUUGUUGUCUAUUUGAAGGUGGUGGGGACUUCCUUCCAGAAUUAGCAGAAUUUGUUUGAUGAGAUUCCACUUUCUUCUCACCUUUUUGCCAGGAUUUGUACUUGUUGUGGGACUUCUCUUGUAUAGGACGCUCAAUUUUUGACGCAUAGUUAAUGAGGUCCACAACCGUUGCAGCACGACUCGCGAGGAGAUUUGCUUCAAGUACGGUAAAGCUCUUUCUGCAAUGAAGGUGACAAUCUCUGCUUCUUUGUUGUUGGUUGUCAUCCGGUACACUUUCAGGUACUGGAGAUCCAUCUCGAAGGCGAACUUCUGGAACGGUUCGUUGUCAUUCUGCCGACGUAAAAGUAACUUCUCUAGUGCAGCAUGAAGAUCAGAAUCCGAUGCAUACAUGGUGAUGAAAUGUUUUUUAAAAUCGUCCCAUGUACGAGCGAAAAGUUUGGUGCGUUGCCACCACAAUGAUUGAUUGGGGUCUUGAUUGAAGACGGCAGGCAGUGAUAGGAUCCAAUCUUUCCGGAGAAAGCGCUUCCGUUCCAUAUGAUUCUCUAAUUCCAUGAUGAAAUUUUCAGCUGAAUCAAUGUUCGGGUUAAAUUUUGGUGGAGGAAUAUUGCCUACGGAAUGAAAUAGUACAGGUCCUGACGAAGAAGAACGAGUUUGCAUGAUUGCAUCGGUAGGAUUUGUAGGGAUUUCUUCCUCUUUGCCAUCCAUGAUUCUGGUGCGAGAAAUGCACCACGCUGGAACGGCAUCUUCUUUAUUCUCAUUUGGAGGGUUAUUGACCUGUGGAGGAGAAUGCGACAAGAAUUGCGGUGGUGGAGGACAAGACAAGAAUUGUGGUGGUGGAGGGACGCCACGAAGUUCAACGCAGGAUGAGGGGUCAUCUUGAUUUGGUAGCGUGGGUAUCAUCUCCUUGGAAGGAGUUUGAACCCUUGAAUUUGCAUGGAUGAACUCAUUGAUGAUGCUGGACU
Folsomia candida is the source of this 3933-nucleotide long non-coding RNA. RefSeq lists it as uncharacterized. NCBI's taxonomy places the organism in Eukaryota, Metazoa, Arthropoda, Collembola, Entomobryomorpha, Isotomidae. The record is from RefSeq and is a predicted model, not a curated record. The transcript is spliced from 2 exons.